UGGGGAAUUUUGGACAAUGGGCGCAAGCCUGAUCCAGCCAUGCCGCGUGCGGGAAGAAGGCCUUCGGGUUGUAAACCGCUUCUGUCAGGGAAGAAAUCUUCUGAGUUAAUACCUCGGGAGGAUGACGGUACCUGAAGAAUAAGCACCGGCUAACUACGUGCCAGCAGCCGCGGUAAUACGUAGGGUGCAAGCGUUAAUCGGAAUUACUGGGCGUAAAGCGUGCGCAGGCGGUUUUGUAAGACAGAGGUGAAAUCCCCGGGCUCAACCUGGGAACUGCCUUUGUGACUGCAAGGCUUGAGUGCGGCAGAGGGGGGAUGGAAUUCCGCGUGUAGCAGUGAAAUGCGUAGAUAUGCGGAGGAACACCGAUGGCGAAGGCAAUCCCCUGGGCCUGCACUGACGCUCAUGCACGAAAGCGUGGGGAGCAAACAGGAUUAGAUAGCCCUGGUAGUCCACGCCCUAAACGAUGUCAACUGGUUGUUGGGAAGGUUCCUUCUCAGUAACGUAGCUAACGCGUGAAGUUGACCGCCUGGGGAGUACGGCCGCAAGGUUGAAACUCAAAUGAAUUGACGGGGGUCAUUAGCUG
This 583-nucleotide ribosomal RNA is filed under the name uncultured bacterium. RNAcentral describes it as "partial 16S ribosomal RNA". It matches the Rfam family "Bacterial small subunit ribosomal RNA", at positions 355 to 932 of the family's 1533-position model. The record is from RNAcentral.